UGGGGGAAAAUUAGUAUAUAAAAUUAUAAUAAAAAUAAUUUUAAUAAAAUAUGAUGGGGUUAAAGUAUUUUAUAAAGAAAAAAUUGUUUAAUUUAUAAAGAAUUAGUAUUGUGAAAGAAAUUUGAAAUAUUUGAAAAUUAAUUAAUUUAAUAGUAAAUUUUAAUUAUUGUAUCUUGUGUAUCAGAGUUUAUUAAUAAAGAUUUUUAUAAAAAAAAAAUUCUCGAAUUUGAAAGAGUUAAUUAGUUAAAAAAAUUAUUGUUGCAAAAAUAUUUUUCAUAAUUAAUUAGAAAUGAAAUGUUAAUCGUUUUUAAAUAUAUCUAGUUUUUUUAGAAAAAAAUUUAAUUUUAAAUUAUUUUAAUUAAAAAUUUAAAUAAUAAAAUUUUUAAAAAAUUAAAUUUAAUAUUUUAAGGGAUAAGCUUUAAUUUAAAUUUUUAUAAUAGUUUUUUUUUUAUUAAUUGAAAAUUUUAAAAUUUAUAUUGUUUAAAAAUUAUAAUUUUUUAUAAAUAAUUUCAAAAUAAAAUAAAAUUUAAAAAAUUAAAUUUAAAUUUUUAUAAAAUAAGUAAAAUUUAAUAUUAUAAUUUUAGUUACAAUGAUAAAAUUAGUAUAUGAAUAUAUAAUAUAAAAAUUAUUAAAUAUGAAUUAGUGGAAAAUUAAUUAUAAGGAAUUCGGCAAAUUUUUAUAUUCACUUGUUUAUCAAAAACAUGUCUUUUUGAAAUAAUUUAAAGUCUAAUCUGCCCACUGAUAAAAAUUAAAGGGCUGCAGUAUUUUGACUGUACAAAGGUAGCAUAAUCAUUAGUCUCUUAAUUGGUGACUUGUAUGAAAGAUUGGAUGAGAUAUAAACUGUCUUAUUAUUAUUAAUAAAAUUUAAUUUUUUAGUUAAAAAGCUAAAAUAUUUUUAAAAGACGAGAAGACCCUAUAGAGUUUUAUAUUAAAGUUAAUUAUAAAUUUUUAUAUUAAUGUUAAGUUUGAAUUAAUUUUAAUAUUUUGUUGGGGUGAUAAAAAAAUAAAAUUAACUUUUUUUUUAUAUUAUAUAUAUAUAUAUAUAUAUAUAUAUAUAACAUUAAUUAAUGAAUAAAUGAUCCAUAAAUUAUGAUUAAAAGAUUAAAUUACCUUAGGGAUAACAGCGUAAUUUUUUUUUUUAGUUCAAAUAAAAAAGAAAGUUUGCGACCUCGAUGUUGGAUUAAGAUAAAAUUUAAAUGCAAAAGUUUAAAAUUUUGAUCUGUUCGAUCAUUAAAAUCUUACAUGAUCUGAGUUCAAACCGGUGUAAGCCAGGUUGGUUUCUAUCUUUAUAUACAUUAAAUAUUUUAGUACGAAAGGAUCAAAUAUUUAAAAUAAUUUUAUUUUAUAAGAAUAUUACUAAAUGUGUUUGUUUAAAUUAA
RNAcentral lists this ribosomal RNA (1379 nucleotides) under Grapholita delineana. Its description in RNAcentral is "16S ribosomal RNA". The record is from RNAcentral. Lineage: Eukaryota; Metazoa; Arthropoda; Insecta; Lepidoptera; Tortricidae.